UACGAAGGGGGCUAGCGUUGCUCGGAAUCACUGGGCGUAAAGCGCACGUAGGCGGAUUCUUAAGUCGGUCGUGAAAUGCCGGGGCUCAACCCCGGGACUGCGUCCGAUACUCUCGAGCUGGAGGCAGGUAGGGGGGAUCGGAAUUCCUGGUGUAGCGGCGAAAUGCGCAGAUAUCAGGAGGAACACCGGUGGCGAAGGCGGAUCUCUGGGCCUUGCCUGACGCUGAGGCGCGAAAGCUAGGGGAGCGAACAGG
Molecule: ribosomal RNA, 253 nt
Filed under: uncultured bacterium
Lineage: Bacteria
Description: partial 16S ribosomal RNA
Rfam family: Bacterial small subunit ribosomal RNA
Source: RNAcentral